AAUGAUAGGAUACAGAUUGGCUUUUUGUCCAGUAAACAUGAGGAAGGGAGGGAUUGUAUGAGAGUGAGUGUGUAUGUUUCUCCAUGUCCCAAAUAAUACAUACCCAUUAUUUUAUGGUACGAGGCUAGGGCUUAAUGAGUUUAUGCUAGAAAUUGAAGUAUAAGACUAAACCUGAACAUUUUAAACAAGUUGGCUUUCAUGGCUCUUUCAUGGCUUUUUCAAGUACCACCAUGUUGAUAUUAGCCUUAGGUGGCAAGUGAUUCUUAACAUCAUAUGGAGUACAGUGUUUGUACCACUAGCAUUCUUAUGUCUGUACUUGAAUGUAUAGUUAGCAUUGAAAUAAAUAUGUUCAUUCUUAUUUCAUCCAGGUCUAAUCAUCUGAUUUCAAAUGCCAGAGCUUAUAUUGACCAAAAAAGCAUUAAUGAUAGGGCAUUGUUUUCCGAGUUGAUAAGAGGUUUUGAGACAUAUUCAAAUCUGUUGAUAAUGAUCAUUUCCAGAUGGGUCAAUGUAUGCUGAUCACUAUGCAUAAAUUUUCAAUCAGUGAAUAUCAUGAUAGAAAUAGGCUACUUUCCUUGGGUUUGUAUUUUAAAAGCUUAUAUGUUUCUUGCCAUAGUAAGUGAUGCAUUUGUCCUCAGUCACGCCUAUUUGAUGGUACGGUGGCGGUGGGGUGGGAGGGAUGUUAAUUCAUGGAAAGUAUAUGUAAAAAUGCAACAAACUAACAUUCCCCGUUUUUGUUUUACCUCUUAAAGCAGAAGUAGAAAACGUUUUCACUGGCUUUUCUGUACAGUACUACUAUACCGGGGGUAGAGCUCAUUUACCACAAAGAGCCUUAUCAAAAAGUAUAUUUUGUAACAACCUCAUAAUACUGUACCUAACCAAACAUGCUUUGUAUUAGCUCUGUAUAAAAGUAUUUGUGGCUUAGGAUUUAUAUAUAUAUAUAUAUAUCUUUUUAUAACUUUCCAGGAACUAAGCACAUUAUCUGAUACUGUAAAUUAUUUUCUGUCAGUGCUUUAGUACAGGAUUGGCAAUAAAUUAUUUCUAAAGGAGGUCUGAAAGUGACAAGAACAGUUGGAUUUUAUAAAAUGAGUUGCUAGUUGUUAAGGCUUUUUACUUUUGUACAUAUUUUGCAGAAUUUUUGCCUCUUGCUUUUAAUAUUUGCUUUGUAAAGAUUACUGACAUUUAAUAAACAUUUAUAAACUAUUCAAUACUAUGAUGUUAUUUAAACUAUUUGCUAAAUGUAAAAUGUGAAGCUGGCAUUUAUUUAAAAUUGGAAAGCAAACGUUUCAUCUGGUGACUUUGAAGCACAGAAAUCUCUAGUGAUACUGUGCCUUAGCAUUACUCUGUAAACGUUUCCUUACUAAAGGUGGAGGUGUGGACUUCAUCCAUGGAGCUUCCCAGACUCUUACUACGUUUUGAUGUGGGAGUUCUCUGUGAUCCUGUUACAAUUGCUGAAAUUGGCAGGAUGGUGUGUCUGGGCUCCUAGUUUGUCCACCUGCAGAAGUAAUGCUAUUGUGUCUUUUGUCCUGAAAUGGUGUUUUAAAAACAAACAUGCUACCACCCAGUUUUAUAUUUCAAUACGUUUUAUUUUACAGAAAAAAAUGCAGAGAUACUAGAACUCCCCUGCUCUCCCUCCCCUUUAUAAGUUUCUCCAAGUAACACUUGGCAUUCUCAUGGCACAUUGGUCAUAAUUACUGAACCGACAUGAACACUUAAUAUUAACGAAAGCCCGUUCUUUAUUCCGAUUUCCUUAGUUUUUCCCUAUGUCCCUUUCUGUUCCAGAUUCCAUCCAGGAUAACAUGCUUCAUUUAGUUGGCAUGUCUCCAGGCUCCUCCUGACCAUUGCUGUUUUCUCAGCAUUUCCUUGUUUUGAUGGCCUGGGCAGUUCUGAGGAAGAGGCAUACUGAUCAGGUUCUUCAAGGAAUGACUACAGGAUGCUUCCGUGAUUGAUAAAUAAGAACAUGCAUUUCAAACUUAGAUUGAAACCCUGGCUUCUCUACUUAUUAAGCUGUGUGGCUUUGGGCAAAUGACUUACCCUUUCUGGGCAUUGAUUGCCUCAUCGAUGCCUAACACCUAUGGAGUAAGUUUGUUAUUAAACAUUCAGUGCAGAGCUACUACAGUGCCAGGCACGGGAUAGGA
This is a long non-coding RNA of Pipistrellus kuhlii (Kuhl's pipistrelle), 2135 nucleotides long. RefSeq lists it as uncharacterized. NCBI's taxonomy places the organism in Eukaryota, Metazoa, Chordata, Mammalia, Chiroptera, Vespertilionidae. The record is from RefSeq and is a predicted model, not a curated record. The transcript is spliced from 2 exons.